This 940-nucleotide long non-coding RNA is filed under the name Nicotiana tabacum (common tobacco). RNAcentral describes it as "long non-coding RNA (NTAB_LNC018249)". Lineage: Eukaryota; Viridiplantae; Streptophyta; Magnoliopsida; Solanales; Solanaceae. The record is from RNAcentral.
CUUCUUCUGACUAGUGUUGCCUUCCUUCCGACUUCUGAACUUUAACUUAUGUUGGGGAUCUUUGUCGUAACCCUUCGCUCUCCGAGCGGGCUCCUGACUUCAACAACUUCUUAAAAAUAUAACACCUUCAUUCUCCAGGCGGGCUCCUGACUUCGCCAAUGACUUAAAAAUAUAACAACCUCCAUUCUCUAGGCGGGCUCCUAACUUCAACUAUAAUUCAAAAGAUAAUGCCUCCAUUCUCCAGGCGGGCUCCUGACUUCAACUACUUUUUAAACUAUAACACCUCCAUUCUCCAAGCGGGCUCCUGACUUCCACCAUUAUAACACAACACCUCCAUUCUCCAGGCGGGCUCCUGACUUCAACUAAUUCUUAAAAACAUAACACCUCCAUUCUCCAGGCGGGCUCCUGACUUCAAUAAACCUUAAAAUAUAACACCUCCAUUCUCCAGGCGGGCUCCUAACUUCAACUACUUCUUAAACUGUAACACCUCCAUUCUCCAGGCGGGCUCCUGACUUCAACUAUUUCUUAAAACAUAACACCUCCACUCUCCACGCGGGCUCCUGACUUCAACUACUUCUUAAACUGUAACACCUCCAUUCUCCAGGCCGGCUCCUGACUUCAACUAUUUCUUAAAACAUAACACCUCCAUUCUCCAGGCGGGCUCUUGACUUCAACUAUUUUAUAAAACAUAACACCUCCAUUCUCCAGGCGGGCUCCUGACUUCAACUACUUCUUAAACUAUAACACCUCCAUUCUCUAGGCGGGCUCCUGACUUCAACUACUUCUUAAAUAUAUAACACCUCCAUUCUCCAGGCAGGCUCCUGACUUCAACAACUUCUUAAAAAUAUAACACUUCCAUUCUCCAGGCGGCUCCUGACUUCAACUGCUUCUUAAAAAUAUAACACCUCCAUUCUCCAGGCGGUCUCCUGACUCCUUUAAC